RNAcentral lists this ribosomal RNA (413 nucleotides) under uncultured Lactobacillus sp. RNAcentral's name for it is "bacterial SSU rRNA". It matches the Rfam family "Bacterial small subunit ribosomal RNA", at positions 968 to 1382 of the family's 1533-position model. The record is from RNAcentral. Lineage: Bacteria; Bacillati; Bacillota; Bacilli; Lactobacillales; Lactobacillaceae.
ACCUUACCAGGUCUUGACAUACUCGUGCUAUUCCUAGAGAUAGGAAGUUCCUUCGGGACACGGGAUACAGGUGGUGCAUGGUUGUCGUCAGCUCGUGUCGUGAGAUGUUGGGUUAAGUCCCGCAACGAGCGCAACCCCUAUUGUUAGUUGCCAUCAUUAAGUUGGGCACUCUAACGAGACUGCCGGUGAUAAACCGGAGGAAGGUGGGGAUGACGUCAAAUCAUCAUGCCCCUUAUGACCUGGGCUACACACGUGCUACAAUGGAUGGUACAACGAGUCGCGAGACAGUGAUGUUUAGCUAAUCUCUUAAAACCAUUCUCAGUUCGGAUUGUAGGCUGCAACUCGCCUACAUGAAGUCGGAAUCGCUAGUAAUCGCGGAUCAGCACGCCGCGGUGAAUACGUUCCCGGGUCUU